This 497-nucleotide ribosomal RNA is filed under the name uncultured bacterium. RNAcentral's name for it is "partial 16S ribosomal RNA". It matches the Rfam family "Bacterial small subunit ribosomal RNA", at positions 28 to 507 of the family's 1533-position model. The record is from RNAcentral.
GAUGAACGCUGGCGGCGUGCCUAAUACAUGCAAGUCGAGCGAACGGACGAGAAGCUUGCUUCUCUGAUGUUAGCGGCGGACGGGUGAGUAACACGUGGAUAACCUACCUAUAAGACUGGGAUAACUUCGGGAAACCGGAGCUAAUACCGGAUAAUAUUUUGAACCGCAUGGUGCAAAAGUGAAAGACGGUCUUGCUGUCACUUAUAGAUGGAUCCGCGCUGCAUUAGCUAGUUGGUAAGGUAACGGCUUACCAAGGCAACGAUGCAUAGCCGACCUGAGAGGGUGAUCGGCCACACUGGAACUGAGACACGGUCCAGACUCCUACGGGAGGCAGCAGUAGGGAAUCUUCCGCAAUGGGCGAAAGCCUGACGGAGCAACGCCGCGUGAGUGAUGAAGGUCUUCGGAUCGUAAAACUCUGUUAUUAGGGAAGAACAUAUGUGUAAGUAACUGUGCACAUCUUGACGGUACCUAAUCAGAAAGCAACGGCUAACUACGUG